Molecule: transfer RNA, 58 nt
Filed under: Ischalia sp. BMNH 840493
Lineage: Eukaryota; Metazoa; Arthropoda; Insecta; Coleoptera; Anthicidae
Description: tRNA-Ser
Source: RNAcentral
GAAAUAUAUUAAAUUAAGCUUCUAACUUAAUAUAAAGCGUUAAAUCGUUUAUAUUUCU